This 82-nucleotide transfer RNA is filed under the name Heliocybe sulcata. RNAcentral's name for it is "tRNA-Ala". It matches the Rfam family "tRNA". From Rfam's summary of the family: Transfer RNA (tRNA) molecules are approximately 80 nucleotides in length. Lineage: Eukaryota; Fungi; Basidiomycota; Agaricomycetes; Gloeophyllales; Gloeophyllaceae. The record is from RNAcentral.
GGGCACUUGGUGUAGAUGGUUAUCACGCUCGCUUAGCAUCGCAGUUUGCGAGAGGGGACCGGUUCAAUUCCGGUAGUGUCCA